RNAcentral lists this ribosomal RNA (71 nucleotides) under Mcneillia graminifolia. RNAcentral's name for it is "5.8S ribosomal RNA". RNAcentral also lists the same sequence under 2 other names. The record is from RNAcentral. Lineage: Eukaryota; Viridiplantae; Streptophyta; Magnoliopsida; Caryophyllales; Caryophyllaceae.
AAACGACUCUCGGCAACGGAUAUCUCGGGAACGCAAGUUGCGCCCGAAACCUUCUGGUUGAGGGCACGUCU